RNAcentral lists this ribosomal RNA (169 nucleotides) under uncultured bacterium. RNAcentral describes it as "partial 16S ribosomal RNA". It matches the Rfam family "Bacterial small subunit ribosomal RNA", at positions 338 to 524 of the family's 1533-position model. The record is from RNAcentral.
CCUACGGGAGGCAGCAGUGAGGAAUAUUGCACAAUGGAGGAAACUCUGAUGCAGCAACGCCGCGUGGAGGAUGACGCAUUUCGGUGUGUAAACUCCUUUUAAGAGGGAAGAUUAUGACGGUACCUCUUGAAUAAGCACCGGCUAACUCCGUGCCAGCAGCCGCGGUAAU